UAGGUUUCAGGCAGUCUCCUUGG
This 23-nucleotide non-coding RNA is filed under the name Arabidopsis thaliana (thale cress). Lineage: Eukaryota; Viridiplantae; Streptophyta; Magnoliopsida; Brassicales; Brassicaceae. The record is from RNAcentral.